This 154-nucleotide ribosomal RNA is filed under the name Gymnosporangium yamadae. RNAcentral's name for it is "5.8S ribosomal RNA". It matches the Rfam family "5.8S ribosomal RNA". From Rfam's summary of the family: 5.8S ribosomal RNA (5.8S rRNA) is a component of the large subunit of the eukaryotic ribosome. It is transcribed by RNA polymerase I as part of the 45S precursor that also contains 18S and 28S rRNA. Lineage: Eukaryota; Fungi; Basidiomycota; Pucciniomycetes; Pucciniales; Gymnosporangiaceae. The record is from RNAcentral.
AACUUUUAACAAUGGAUCUCUAGGCUCUCACAUUGAUGAAGAACACAGUGAAAUGUGAUAAGUAAUGUGAAUCGCAGAAUUCAGUGAAUCAUCAAAUCUUUGAACGCACCUUGCACCUUUUGGUAUUCCAAAAGGUACACCUGUUUGAGUGUCA